UACAGACACCCUGGUUCAAAUCCAGGCUGUAUCACAACUGGCUGUGAUUGGGAGUCCCAUAGGGCAGCGCACAAUUGGCCGAGCGUUGUCCGAGUUUGGCCGGUGUAGGCCAUCAUAGAAACCACAAACAGUAUUUGCCAAUAUCAUAACUGGAACUGGACAUCUUUCGAGCUGAAGAUUGAGGACAGCUUUUGCAGACUUUGCAGUGCCUCCGUGUGCGACUACCUUGAGCAGCAGUUUGAGGGACUUUGCGGGGAAAAUGCCGUGCAGUGAGGCGUAGGGGAUUGUCUACAGCAGGGCGACCCCCAGUGGAGGGGCGCCGAGGGGUGUGGUGCUCCUCCAACAGCUCUCUCAUGAGGUUCUCUCUGUAUUUUUGGUGGUCCACCUUCCCUGUGGCCGACAUGGUUGCUGUAUGGACAGUGGAGAGGACAUGGACGUCUCGUUUGUCAUGCCACUUUACUGCCAGCUGUUGACCGUUCUCCUGGAACUCCACCUCCCCUCUCUGCAUCUUCCUGCAUCCGAAUGCCGGCAUCCCCUUCCUGUUCGACCUAACCCUAACCCUGUGCUGUUGGAGAGCAGAUGCUGGAAGAGUGUGGGACUGCUGUACCAAUUGUCCACGUACAAAGUGUGUCCCUUGCCGAGAUGAGGAGCCAGCAUGGUCAUCACCACGGACCCAGACACCCCAAGCCCCUCAUAAUGUUUGAUGUCAGUGGUAGACCCUGUGUACACUAUAAUAUCCAGGACAUAUCCUGUCUUCACGUCGCACAUGACAAAGAACUUGACCCCAAACCUGUGCCUUUUGGAGGGAAUAUAUUGACGGAACGCCAGCCUACCUUUCCAUAACAUCAGGGACUCAUCAAUGCAUAGGUCCUUGUAUGGCACAAAGACCCGAC
This 893-nucleotide long non-coding RNA is filed under the name Salmo salar (Atlantic salmon). RNAcentral describes it as "lncRNA (ENSSSAG00000085696.1)". The record is from RNAcentral. Lineage: Eukaryota; Metazoa; Chordata; Actinopteri; Salmoniformes; Salmonidae.